RNAcentral lists this ribosomal RNA (550 nucleotides) under uncultured bacterium. RNAcentral describes it as "bacterial SSU rRNA". It matches the Rfam family "Bacterial small subunit ribosomal RNA", at positions 94 to 640 of the family's 1533-position model. The record is from RNAcentral.
AGCGGCGGACGGGUGAGUAAUGCCUGGGAAUAUGCCCUGAUGUGGGGGAUAACUAUUGGAAACGAUAGCUAAUACCGCAUAAUCUCUUCGGAGCAAAGAGGGGGACCUUCGGGCCUCUCGCGUCAGGAUUAGCCCAGGUGGGAUUAGCUUGUUGGUGAGGUAAUGGCUCACCAAGGCAACGAUCCCUAGCUGGUCUGAGAGGAUGAUCAGCCACACUGGAACUGAGACACGGUCCAGACUCCUACGGGAGGCAGCAGUGGGGAAUAUUGCACAAUGGGGGAAACCCUGAUGCAGCCAUGCCGCGUGUGUGAAGAAGGCCUUCGGGUUGUAAAGCACUUUCAGUAGGGAGGAAGGCAGUGUAGUUAACACCUGCACUAUUUGACGUUACCUACAGAAGAAGCACCGGCUAACUCCGUGCCAGCAGCCGCGGUAAUACGGAGGGUGCGAGCGUUAAUCGGAAUUACUGGGCGUAAAGCGCAUGCAGGCGGCCUGUUAAGUCAGAUGUGAAAGCCCGGGGCUUAACCUCGGAAUUGCAUUUGAAACUGGCAGG